AAAUUCAAAGACAAAUAAACCAUUCUACGUUCUACAAUAUCCCAGCAGAUAAGUUUUAUUGAGCUUAGAAAUUAGAGAAUACGCGUUCUUUGUCUGGGGGAGUGGAACUCCUAAAACAGCAAGCUUGCCCAAGCAGCAAUAAAAGCAAAGCCACCCAAUGGGGCAAAGGUAGAAUAUUUUUUGUCUUCAAGAUAUGCCACAGCAUAACACCUGCAAACAAC
This 221-nucleotide long non-coding RNA is filed under the name Panax ginseng (ginseng). Its description in RNAcentral is "long non-coding RNA (PGIN_LNC016538)". Lineage: Eukaryota; Viridiplantae; Streptophyta; Magnoliopsida; Apiales; Araliaceae. The record is from RNAcentral.